RNAcentral lists this ribosomal RNA (412 nucleotides) under uncultured bacterium. RNAcentral describes it as "bacterial SSU rRNA". It matches the Rfam family "Bacterial small subunit ribosomal RNA", at positions 28 to 424 of the family's 1533-position model. The record is from RNAcentral.
AGCGAACGCUGGCGGCGUACUUAACACAUGCAAGUCGUACGAGGAUCGUCGGGUUAGCAAUAAUUCGGCGGUUCGAGUGGCGCACGGGUGAGUAACACGUGGUAACCCACCCUUCGAGACCGGGAUACCCUCUCGAAAGGGAGGCUAAUACUGGAUACGUUCCCUGGGACGCAAGAUCUGGGGAGGAAAGGUGGCGAAAGCUGCCGCUCUUGGAGGGGCUCGCGGCCUAUCAGCUAGUUGGGAGGUAACGGCUCACCAAGGCUAUGACGGGUAGCUGGUCUGAGAGGACGACCAGCCACACGGGAACUGAGACACGGUCCCGACUCCUACGGGAGGCAGCAGUGGGGAAUUUUCCGCAAUGGGCGAAAGCCUGACGGAGUGACGCCGCGUGGGGGACGAAGGCCUUCGGGUU